RNAcentral lists this transfer RNA (63 nucleotides) under Epanerchodus koreanus. RNAcentral describes it as "tRNA-Trp". The record is from RNAcentral. Lineage: Eukaryota; Metazoa; Arthropoda; Diplopoda; Polydesmida; Polydesmidae.
AAGAUUUUAGGUUAAUAAAGACUGUUAAUUUUCAAAAUUAGAGGUGGUUUGUAUCAAAUUUUG